Papio anubis (olive baboon) is the source of this 104-nucleotide non-coding RNA. Lineage: Eukaryota; Metazoa; Chordata; Mammalia; Primates; Cercopithecidae. The record is from Rfam.
AGCAGUUACUACCCUGCUCGCUCUGACAGCACGUAUACUAGAGAAGAUUAGCAUGGACCCUGUGCAAGGAUGACACGCAAAUUCAUGAACCAUUCCAUAUUUUU